Long non-coding RNA from Hordeum vulgare subsp. vulgare (domesticated barley), 653 nucleotides. RefSeq lists it as uncharacterized. The transcript is spliced from 4 exons. NCBI's taxonomy places the organism in Eukaryota, Viridiplantae, Streptophyta, Magnoliopsida, Poales, Poaceae. The record is from RefSeq and is a predicted model, not a curated record.
CUUUCGUUCUCCUCCUCCCCUCCGAGUCUUCGACGAGAGCGCAUUCCGGCCUCGCGCCCUAGCCGCAACCCCCAGGUGUAGGCGGCGGCGCUCGUCUACCUCUGCACCCCGUCCGCGCGGCGCCGUCCGCCAUGCCAGCAGCACUGGAGAUCUGAUGUAAGAGACUGGACUGCAUUCCACGGGUGAAGUACUACUACGAUUGAAGCUGUGAGAGUGGAUUGCAAGUUCGCUGGUGCUCUGGCAUACUGUCACAAGAAGCAGGUAAUUCACACGGACAUCAAGCCGGAAAGUUUGCCUACUGAUUUCGAGAAGGAGCUUCAAGAUCUCUUCGUAACAGCUGAUGUAAGCGUUUGGACUGCAUUCCACUGGUGAAGUUCACUUAAAUUGAAGUUGUGGGAGGUAUGGAGAUCAUUACAGACACUACUUGCCCUCAGUACCUUAUUAGGAUAGGUAUUAGUGGGUGUUCUAAAACUGAUUGGACUGCGUUCCACUGGUGAAGUUUACUUAAAUUGAAGUUGUGGGAGGUAUGGAGAUCAUUACAGACACUACUUGCUCUCAGUACCUUAUUAGGAUAGGUAUUAGUGGGUGUUCUAAAACUGUACGUAUCUACUCAUGUUUGCAUUGUUGAAAGUAGUAAAAUUUCUGAUCGUUAA